UGCUUGCUUCGGCAGCACAUCUAUAAAAUUGGAACGAUACAGGGAAGAUUAGCAUGGCGUCUGCACAAGGAUGGGGUGCAAAUUCAUGAAGCGUUCCAUAUUUUC
Small nuclear RNA from Pteronotus mesoamericanus, 105 nucleotides. The record is from RefSeq and is a predicted model, not a curated record. Lineage: Eukaryota; Metazoa; Chordata; Mammalia; Chiroptera; Mormoopidae.